This 2152-nucleotide long non-coding RNA is filed under the name Sorghum bicolor (sorghum). RNAcentral's name for it is "long non-coding RNA (SBIC_LNC016029)". The record is from RNAcentral. Lineage: Eukaryota; Viridiplantae; Streptophyta; Magnoliopsida; Poales; Poaceae.
GGGACUUUCUUCCGUAUUUCCUAAUAACCCCAUGUAGAAAUAGACAAACACCAAAACUCGUGGAAUUCUGUCAGAUAAAACCCUAAGUCUAGGUGUUGAUUGCAUUUGGAUCCUUUUUCAUGAUUAGUUGAUGGUUAAAUGUGAGCAUUAAGGACCGUCAACAAGCUCUCCCAAGCUUAACCUUUGCUCAUCCCUGAGCAAAGAUGGACUCAAGAGUUUCUGCAGUGGUUUUAUGCCUUAAGGAUACACAUGCGUUCAAACAAGAUCUCAUCUCUGAGUUAGGGUAAACUGUUAAUAUUUAAACUUACUCAUUUUACCUUUCACCAUGGGGCUUGUAACCGUCACUUAUGUCUUGAGCAGUUAAAAGAUAGAACGGUCUAGUCAAGCGCCAUGUCUCUUGUUCUUCGAUUAACUAUAGCUCUGGAGUUUUUGCAAAUUUUUAAAUAAAACUCAGAGAUUCCUUGUAUGACUCUCUCCGGUCUCUCAUUUGUGGUAUUUCUGGAUCCUUACCAUGGCAGUAAAGGUGUAUGCCUUCUCUCAAAGUAUGUGGUAUUUUUGGUAUGAGGCAUAGUGACAUUGCCUUCUCUCUCACCCUACUCUAAUAAGAAUUUUGAUAUCUGGAGCUCAUAGGUGGGAGAUAAAGUAUACAUACUUACAAGACAUUUAUUGCAUAGUCAAACCAUGGAUCUAGAUAAACAAGUCAAUAAGUCAAAUCAAGAUGUGCAUUUGUGGUGAAUAAAUGGUGAUAAUGGUGAUGAUGGUGAUAACAAUGGUCAAAAGUCUAAUUCUACUUAUGCUCUUUUGAGGGGAUACAUACCUUUCUUGCUCUUUUGAAACUUUUUGAGGAGAAUGAGAUGCUCUAUAUUUUCUUUUUCUUUCCUCUCAGGUGGGUAUCUUGUACCCCUAAUUCUAAUGUCGGACACUUGUCCAUUUUUACCUCUCGUCUCACUUUUUCUUUUCUUUCGAGGUUCCGGGCACUUGCCCCUUUUUGUUUCCUCGUAUCUUUUUUUCUCUCUCUUUUUUUAGAGCACUCAUCUCUUGAAAUAAAGUAGCAAGUGGUAGUAACCAAGAUAACUUGAGCAUUUAUUUCACAGGGGAAAAACAGAAAUGUUUUUGGCUAUUCUCUCCCGGAUUAGGAGUAGAAUAUUUUUGGGUUGUUGUGGAGAUAGAAAUGAGUGGAGGUAUGUGAAUGCGUACUUCCGGAGUAGAAGCAACAUGUGUGAGUGAACGUGCAAGUGAAUCUUGAUUUAACCACAUGACAAGCUCCUAAGUGUCUACACAGCUUGACCACACUCAAUGCUCAUAAGCAGUAGAAAGUAAAUGUAUGGUUCAUAGUCUAAUAAGCAUGUAUAUAUGGCUGUGGUAGGAUUUUAAACUCUCAUCAUACAGGAACUCAUCAUGCAAUAUUUUAGAGACUUUCAAAGAUAAAAUUCUCUAGAAUUCUAGCAUCUAUAGGAACAGAUAAACAGCAGCUCAACCUUCCCAUAUCGUAUCCGUUAACGACUUAGACUUUAGAUCAAGUACUCUCCCCACAAGUUCAGGUUUAGAGCAAAUCUUAAUUAAUACCAGUCAUGCCUAAACUUGAGAGAGAUUUCAAUUUUGAGAACUAGUCAUGGCAGAGCAACUAUUCAUCAUUUCCAUGUGAGAGCUUAUCAUGAGGGUUCAUAGCAAACUUUAUUUAUUUAUUUAUUUAUUUAUUUAUUUAGCAACUAAGCAAAGAUAUAUAUAUAUAUAUAAGCACAAAAUCUUUAUUUGGGUUUUUAUGAUUAUGCAUCUUUUUAUUAUUUGAGUAAAAUAUAAACGCGAGUAUAAACACUUAGCUAGAAAAAUGGGAGUGCUCUCCCCCAAGCUGGAUUUUGACGUAAUUCCUUGUGAUGUAGCUAGCAGGUGGCGGAGGUGUAUUUGAAUGUCGGCAGUACCCUGACAGCGAUUAGGAUGUCCUCCGUCUGCUAGUCUUCUUUGAUCCUUGAAUUCUGUGGAGCUCAAAUAGACAACAAAGCUUUGUGGAACUAGGUAAGUGUUAGCAUUUAUCAUGUUGAGCCUCCUAAAUAAAUGUUACUCUCUUUAGUAGGAUCAUUUAUUUUUAUAUUUUUUUCAAGAUGAUAUGAACCUGAUUAACUAAGCGAACUAUUUUAAAUAAUUGAAAGGAAAA